RNAcentral lists this ribosomal RNA (232 nucleotides) under unidentified eubacterium 98R6. Its description in RNAcentral is "partial 16S ribosomal RNA". The record is from RNAcentral.
GGGAUUGUCCCGACUUCACCACAAUCAUCUGUCCCACCUUAGGCGGCUGGCUCCUUACGGUUACCCCACCGACUUCGGGUGUUACAAACUCUCGUGGUGUGACGGGCGGUGUGUACAAGGCCCGGGAACGUNUUCACCGCGGNAUGCUGAUCCGCGAUUACUAGCGAUUCCAGCUUCAUGUAGGCGAGUUGNAGNCUACAAUCCGAACUGAGAAAUGGUUUUAUGGGAUUGG